This 746-nucleotide ribosomal RNA is filed under the name uncultured bacterium. RNAcentral's name for it is "bacterial SSU rRNA". It matches the Rfam family "Bacterial small subunit ribosomal RNA", at positions 57 to 795 of the family's 1533-position model. The record is from RNAcentral.
GCAGUCGACGGUAGCACAGAGGAGCUUGCUCCUUGGGUGACGAGUGGCGGACGGGUGAGUAAUGUCUGGGAAACUGCCCGAUGGAGGGGGAUAACUACUGGAAACGGUAGCUAAUACCGCAUAACGUCGCGAGACCAAAGAGGGGGACCUUCGGGCCUCUUGCCAUCGGAUGUGCCCAGAUGGGAUUAGCUAGUAGGUGGGGUAACGGCUCACCUAGGCGACGAUCCCUAGCUGGUCUGAGAGGAUGACCAGCCACACUGGAACUGAGACACGGUCCAGACUCCUACGGGAGGCAGCAGUGGGGAAUAUUGCACAAUGGGCGCAAGCCUGAUGCAGCCAUGCCGCGUGUAUGAAGAAGGCCUUCGGGUUGUAAAGUACUUUCAGCGAGGAGGAAGGGGAUGUGGUUAAUAACCGCAUUCAUUGACGUUACUCGCAGAAGAAGCACCGGCUAACUCCGUGCCAGCAGCCGCGGUAAUACGGAGGGUGCAAGCGUUAAUCGGAAUUACUGGGCGUAAAGCGUGCGCAGGCGGUUUGUUAAGCGAGAUGUGAAAGCCCUGGGCUCAACCUAGGAAUAGCAUUUCGAACUGGCGAACUAGAGUCUUGUAGAGGGGGGUAGAAUUCCAGGUGUAGCGGUGAAAUGCGUAGAGAUCUGGAGGAAUACCGGUGGCGAAGGCGGCCCCCUGGACAAAGACUGACGCUCAUGCACGAAAGCGUGGGGAGCAACAGGAUUAGAUACCCUGGUAGUC